UGGGGAAUUUUGCACAAUGGAGGAAACUCUGAUGCAGCGACGCCGCGUGAGUGAUGAAGAUCUUCGGAUUGUAAAACUCUGUCCUUAGUGAAGAUAAUGACAGUAACUAAGAAGCAAGCCCUGGCUAAAUACGUGCCAGCAGCCGCGGUAAUACGUAUGGGGCAAGCGUUGUCCGGAAUUAUUGGGCGUAAAGGGUACGUAGGCGGUUUAAUAAGCCCUAAUUAAAAGGCUAUGGCUCAACCAUAGUAUGGUUAGGAAACUGUUGAACUUGAGUAGAUGAGGGGAAAGUGGAAUUCCAUGUGUAGCGGUGAAAUGCGUAGAUAUAUGGAGGAACACCAAUGGCGAAGGCAACUUUCUGGAAUCAAACUGACGCUGAGGUACGAAGGCGUGGGGAGCAAACAGG
Molecule: ribosomal RNA, 403 nt
Filed under: Fusobacteriota bacterium
Lineage: Bacteria; Fusobacteriati; Fusobacteriota
Description: Fusobacteria bacterium partial 16S ribosomal RNA
Rfam family: Bacterial small subunit ribosomal RNA
Source: RNAcentral